This 1477-nucleotide ribosomal RNA is filed under the name uncultured Bordetella sp. RNAcentral's name for it is "partial 16S-23S ribosomal RNA intergenic spacer". It matches the Rfam family "Bacterial small subunit ribosomal RNA". The record is from RNAcentral. Lineage: Bacteria; Pseudomonadati; Pseudomonadota; Betaproteobacteria; Burkholderiales; Alcaligenaceae.
GGUUUGAUCAUGGCUCAGAUUGAACGCUGGCGGGAUGCUUUACACAUGCAAGUCGAAAUGGCACGGACUUCGGUCUGGUGGCGAGUGGCGAACGGGUGAGUAAUGUAUCGGAACGUGCCUAAAGUAUGGGGAUAACUACGCGAAAGUUGCAUACGAGCUUCAUAUUAUCUCUUCGGGGAAAGCGGGGACCUCGGGCCUCGCACUAUUAGGAGCGGCCGAUAUCGGAUUAGCUAGUUGGUGGGGUAACGCUCACUAGUGCGACGAUCCGUAGCUGGUUUUGAGAGGACGACCAGCCACACUGGGACUGGAGACGGCCCAGACUCCUACGGGAGGCAGCAGUGGGGAAUUUUGGACAAUGGGGAAACCCUGAUCCAGCCAUCCCGCGUGUGCGAUGAAGGCCUUCGGGUUGUAAAAGCACUUUUGGCAGGAAGAGAAACGGCACGGGAUAAUACUCCGCAACUGACGGUACCUGCAAUGGGCAACCUGGCCAACUACGCACAGCAGCCGCGGUAAUACGUAGGGUGCAAGCGUUAAUCGGAAUUACUGGGCGUAAAGCGUGCGCAGGCGGUUCGAAAGAAAGAUGUGAAAUCCCAGAGCUUAACUUUGAACUGCAUUUUUAACUACCGAGCUAGAGUGUGUCAGAGGGAGGUGGAAUUCGCGUGUAGCAGUGAAAUGCGUAGAUAUGCGGAGGAACACCGAUGGCGAAGGCAGCCUCCUGGGAUAACACUGACGCUCAUGCACGAAAGCGUGGGGAGCAAACAGGAUUAGAUACCCCUGGUAGUCCACGCCCUAAACGAUGUCAACUAGCUGUUGGGGCCUUCGGGCCUUGGUAAAAAGCAGCCAAUCGCGGUGAAGUUGACCGCCUGGGGAGUACGGUCGCAAGACGAAAAACCUGCAUAAUUGACGAACCGUGCACAAGCGGUGGAUGAUGGGAUCAAUUCGAUGCAACGCGAAAAACCUACCUACCCUUGACAUGUCUGGAACUCGAAGAGAUUUGGGAGGCUCUGCAAGAGAACCGGAACACAGGUGCUGCAUGGCUGUCGUCAGCUCGUGUCGAGAUGUUGGGUUGUCCGCAACGAGCGCAACCCUUGUCAUUAGUUGCUACGAAAGGGCAUCCCCAUCGACUCUGCCAGCGACAAACCGGAGGAAGGUGGGGAUGACGUCAAGUCCUCAUAUUCUUAUGUGGUAGGCUUCACAUCGUCAUACAAUGGUCGGGACAGAGGGUCGCCAACCGCGAGGGGGAGCCAAUCCGUAGAAACCUGAUCGUAGUCCGGAUCAGUAGCUCGCAACUCGACUGCGUGAAGUCGAACUAGUAAUCGCGGACUCAAAGCAUGUCGCGGUGAAUACGUUCCCGGGUCUUGUACACACCGCCCGUCACACCAUGGGAGUGGGUUUUUACCAGAAGUAGUUAGCCUAACCGUAAGGAGGGCGACACGACGGUAGGAUUCAUGACUGGGGUGAAGUCGUAACAAGGUAA